This 253-nucleotide ribosomal RNA is filed under the name uncultured bacterium. RNAcentral describes it as "partial 16S ribosomal RNA". It matches the Rfam family "Bacterial small subunit ribosomal RNA", at positions 524 to 776 of the family's 1533-position model. The record is from RNAcentral.
UACGUAGGGGGCAAGCGUUGUUCGGAAUCACUGGGCUUAAAGGGCGCGUAGGCGGGUCGAAAAGUCCGCGGUGAAAUCCCCCCGCUCAACGGGGGAACGGCCGCGGAUACUGUCGGCCUCGAGGGGGGUAGGGGCGAGCGGAACGCUGGGUGGAGCGGUGAAAUGCGUUGAUAUCCAGCGGAACUCCGGUGGCGAAGGCGGCUCGCUGGACCUUCACUGACGCUGAGGCGCGAAAGCCAGGGGAGCGAACGGG